GGACCCGCACAAGUAGUGGAGCAUGUGGUUUAAUUCGAAGAUACGCGCAGAACCUUACCAACACUUGACAUGUUUGUCGCGACUUUAAGAGAUUAAAGUCUUCGGUUCGGCCGGACAAAACACAGGUGCUGCAUGGCUGUCGUCAGCUCGUGUCGUGAGAUGUUGGGUUAAGUCCCGCAACGAGCGCAACCCUCACUUUUAGUUGCUACCAUUUAGUUGGGCACUCUGAAAGAACUGCCAGUGAUAAGCUGGAGGAAGGUGGGGAUGACGUCAAGUCCUCAUGGCCCUUACGUGUUGGGCUACACACGUGCUACAAUGGCAUUUACAAUAGGAAGCAAAAUGGCGACAUUGAGCAAAUCCUAAAAAAAUGCCUCAGUUCGGAUUGUACUCUGCAACUCGAGUACAUGAAGCUGGAAUUACUAGUAA
RNAcentral lists this ribosomal RNA (426 nucleotides) under uncultured bacterium. RNAcentral describes it as "bacterial SSU rRNA". It matches the Rfam family "Bacterial small subunit ribosomal RNA", at positions 917 to 1341 of the family's 1533-position model. The record is from RNAcentral.